CCUAAAUUAUGCAAACUCCACAGACUGUGCCGUUUUAAAUUUCAUACAGGGCGUAAAUAAAAUGCAUUACAAAAUUAACCUGUGGGAUAAUUCCUUUUAAAAGAGGAAACAGCAUAGUGGGUUUCAUGGAUCAAUGCAACAGAUAUCUUAUGGGUGUGAGAGCAGCAUAACGUUCUCUAUACCAGUGGACCCUAACCCAGCCCUC
Non-coding RNA from Pelobates cultripes (western spadefoot toad), 205 nucleotides. The record is from the annotation of a GenBank genome assembly. Lineage: Eukaryota; Metazoa; Chordata; Amphibia; Anura; Pelobatidae.